AUUGAACGCUGGCGGCAUGCCUUACACAUGCAAGUCGAACGGCAGCACGGGGGCAACCCUGGUGGCGAGUGGCGAACGGGUGAGUAAUACAUCGGAACGUGUCCUGUCGUGGGGGAUAACCAGUCGAAAGAUUGGCUAAUACCGCAUGAGAUCGAGAGAUGAAAGCAGGGGACCGCAAGGCCUUGCGCGAUUGGAGCGGCCGAUGUCGGAUUAGCUUGUUGGCGGGAUAAAAGCCCACCAAGGCGACGAUCUGUAGCUGGUUUGAGAGAACGACCAGCCACACUGGGACUGAGACACGGCCCAGACUCCUACGGGAGGCAGCAGUGGGGAAUUUUUGGACAAUGGGGGCAACCCUGAUCCAGCCAUGCCGCGUGUGUGAAGAA
Molecule: ribosomal RNA, 383 nt
Filed under: uncultured bacterium
Lineage: Bacteria
Description: bacterial SSU rRNA
Rfam family: Bacterial small subunit ribosomal RNA
Source: RNAcentral